UGCAUGUCUAAGUACAUGCCGUAUUAAGGCGAAACCGCGAAUGGCUCAUUAAAUCAGUUAUGGUUCCUUGGAUCGUACCUUACUACUUGGAUAACUGUGGCAAUUCUAGAGCUAAUACAUGCAGCAGAGCUCCGACCCUCUGGGGACGAGCGCUUUUAUUAGACCAAAACCAAUCGGACCUCGUGUCCGUCUCUUGUGGUGACUCUGUAUAACUUUGGGCUGAUCGCACGGGCCCGUCCCGGCGACGUAUCUUUCAAGUGUCUGCCUUAUCAACUUUCGAUGGUAGGUUACGCGCCUACCAUGGUCGUAACGGGUAACGGGGAAUCAGGGUUCGAUUCCGGAGAGGGAGCCUGAGAAACGGCUACCACAUCCAAGGAAGGCAGCAGGCGCGCAAAUUACCCACUCCCAGAACGGGGAGGUAGUGACGAAAAAUAACAAUACGGGACUCUUUUGAGACCCCGUAAUUGGAAUGAGUACACUUUAAAUCCUUUAACGAGGAUCCAUUAGAGGGCAAGUCUGGUGCCAGCAGCCGCGGUAAUUCCAGCUCUAAUAGCGUAUAUUAAAGUUGUUGCGGUUAAAAAGCUCGUAGUUGGAUCUCAGUUCCAGACGGGUGGUCCUCCUUACGGUGGCUACUGCCUGUUCUGAACAGCCAGCCGGUUUCUCUUGAUGAUCUUCACCGGUUGUCUUGGGUGACCGGCAAGUUUACUUUGAAAAAAUUAGAGUGCUCAAAGCAGGCGUGACGCCUGAAUAAUGGUGCAUGGAAUAAUGGAAUAGGACCUCGGUUCUAUUUUGUUGGUUUUCGGAACACGAGGUAAUGAUUAAGAGGGACAGACGGGGGCAUUCGUAUUGCGACGCUAGAGGUGAAAUUCUUGGACCGUCNCAAGACGAACUACUGCG
Molecule: ribosomal RNA, 897 nt
Filed under: Mastigusa sp.
Lineage: Eukaryota; Metazoa; Arthropoda; Arachnida; Araneae; Hahniidae
Description: SSU rRNA
Rfam family: Eukaryotic small subunit ribosomal RNA
Source: RNAcentral